UAUUAAAAAUUUAAUCCAUUUUUACGGUUAAAAUUAAUGUGGCUGACAAAAUAACCAAAUAGUUAUACAUAACAUGCCAUAUGUGCCUCACGCUAACAUAUAGGGACCAAACUUUAACAGUAGGAAUUGAUGGAUUUUUUAAUA
Molecule: microRNA precursor, 144 nt
Filed under: Gossypium hirsutum (cotton)
Lineage: Eukaryota; Viridiplantae; Streptophyta; Magnoliopsida; Malvales; Malvaceae
Description: MIR7502 microRNA precursor family
Rfam family: MIR7502 microRNA precursor family
Source: Rfam by way of RNAcentral